This 408-nucleotide unclassified non-coding RNA is filed under the name soil metagenome. Its description in RNAcentral is "partial contains 5.8S ribosomal RNA, internal transcribed spacer 2, and large subunit ribosomal RNA". The stretch from base 1 to 121 matches the Rfam family "5.8S ribosomal RNA", at positions 35 to 154 of the family's 154-position model. The record is from RNAcentral.
GAUGAAGAACGUAGCGAAAUGCGAUAAGUAAUGUGAAUUGCAGAAUUCAGUGAAUCAUCGAAUCUUUGAACGCACCUUGCGCCCUUUGGCUAUUCCGAAGGGCAUGCCUGUUUGAGUAUCAUGAACACCUCAACUCUUCACGGCUUGCCGUGAUGAGUUUGGACUUUGGGGGUCUUGCUGGCCUACGAGCCAGCUCCUCUCAAAUGUAUUAGCUUGCCGGUGUUUGGUGGCAUCACAGGUGUGAUAACUAUCUACGCUUGUGGUUUUCCAUCAAGUCACCUUCAGCGAUGGAGGUUCGCUGGGGCUCAUAAAGAAGGCCUCUCCUCGGUGAGGAUGGCUCCUUUGAACGUUUGAUCUCAAAUCAGGUAGGACUACCCGCUGAACUUAAGCAUAUCAAUAAGCGGAGGA